Long non-coding RNA from Oncorhynchus masou masou (cherry salmon), 408 nucleotides. RefSeq lists it as uncharacterized. The transcript is spliced from 2 exons. The record is from RefSeq and is a predicted model, not a curated record. NCBI's taxonomy places the organism in Eukaryota, Metazoa, Chordata, Actinopteri, Salmoniformes, Salmonidae.
CCAAGGAGAAACCACAGGUGGUGUCCACUACAGGUGAGGUGUGUGUGGAGGUUGCCAUGGGGACAGCGGUUGGCAACAGUGACGUGUGGUUCCGCUUCAACGAGGGCGUGUCCAACGCCGUGCGACGCAACAUCUACAUCAGAGAACUGCUAUAACUCACACACCGUACACACACACCGUACACACACACACCGUAGACACACACACACCGUAGACACACACACACCGUACACACACACACACACUCCAUCUCAUACACGUUCAAAUGUUAGUAUAUAAAUUACCACGAGUCAAUCUGUCAAACCACCUCUUUAUUAUGUUUGAUUGACAGUGGAAACAAGCCAAUAAAAACAGUGUAUUGUGAUUGACAGUGGAAACAAGCCAAUAAAAACAGUGUAUUCUGAUUGA